UACGUAGGGUGCGAGCGUUGUCCGGAAUUAUUGGGCGUAAAGAGCUCGUAGGCGGUCUGUCGCGUCUGCUGUGAAAUCCCGAGGCUCAACCUCGGGCCUGCAGUGGGUACGGGCAGACUAGAGUGAUGUAGGGGAGACUGGAAUUCCUGGUGUAGCGGUGAAAUGCGCAGAUAUCAGGAGGAACACCGGUGGCGAAGGCGGGACUCUGGGCCGAUACUGACGCUGAGGAGCGAAAGCGUGGGGAGCAAACGGG
RNAcentral lists this ribosomal RNA (253 nucleotides) under uncultured bacterium. Its description in RNAcentral is "partial 16S ribosomal RNA". It matches the Rfam family "Bacterial small subunit ribosomal RNA", at positions 524 to 776 of the family's 1533-position model. The record is from RNAcentral.